Molecule: long non-coding RNA, 13276 nt
Filed under: Triticum aestivum (bread wheat)
Lineage: Eukaryota; Viridiplantae; Streptophyta; Magnoliopsida; Poales; Poaceae
Description: long non-coding RNA (TAES_LNC018160)
Source: RNAcentral
GCAGGCCCAGGGCGACGCCUUCCUCAGGUCCAAGUCAGGCUGGAGGAGUUACCUGGAGUUUGAGAUCAAGAACGGCGGGGGUGUGGAGCGCGUCCGGGCCGUCGGCGAGGCGCUCCUCGCGACCUUCCCCAUGGAUCCGCACGCGUACGUGAUCUACAUCAGGGCCCUGGCCGCUCUGUCCCGGCACGUUGAAGCCGAUGCCCUGGCACGCCGUGGCGUGAAGGAGCUGUCCGCCUUCUGUCGCGGGCGCGAUGGGUAUAUUAGGAGGUUUAUGCCCAGGUAUUUGAAGAGGCUCAGGGAGAGACGGAGCACCGCGUGGGAGGAAGAUAUGUUGAAUGAUUAGUCUCUUCUUUUUAGGGAACUGUUGAAUGAUUGGCCUGGAAUUGCCGUGUAAUGCUUUCGGCCACAGCUGUUCGUGAGCUCUUGGAUCUACAAGGGCGUGUGAAAGCGAAUGUGAUUUUUUUGUCUGAGUCACAUCUGAAUAGAGUAAAGGCAAAUGAGAUUAGAGAGAAACUAGUUUUUGAUCGUUUUCACAUCGUAGAGAGUGAUGGUCGUUCUGGAGGGCUUGUACUUUUUUUUAUAAUGACUCAAAUGAAGUGGUUUUGAAUUACUCUUCGCCUAAUUUCAUUGAUGGUUUUGUUAUGGAGGGUAAUAAUGUAGCAUGGCGUUGGACAGGUUUCUAUGAAGAACCUAGUGUUGGAAAUAUGCCCUAGAGGCAAUAUUAAAUGAUUAUUAUUAUAUUUCCUUAUUCAUGAUAAUUGUCUAUUGUUCAUGCUAUAAUUGUGUUAUCCGGAAAUCGUAAUACAUGUGUGAAUACAUAGACCACAACGUGUCCCUAGUAAGCCUCUAGUUGACUAGCUCGUUGAUCAACAGAUAGUCAUGGUUUCCUGACUAUGGACAUUGGAUGUCAUUGAUAACGGGAUCACAUCAUUAGGAGAAUGAUGUGAUGGACAAGACCCAAUCCUAAGCAUAGCGCAAAGAUCGUGUAGUUCGUUUGCUAGAGCUUUUUCCAAUGUCAAGUAUCUUUUCCUUAGACCAUGAGAUCGUGUAACUCCCGGAUGCCGUAGGAGUGCUUUGGGUGUACCAAACGUCACAACGUAACUGGGUGACUAUAAAGGUACACUACAGGUAUCUCUGAAAGUGUCUGUUGGGUUGACACGGAUCGAGACUGGGAUUUGUCACUCCGUGUGCCGGAGAGGUAUCUCUGGGCCCACUCGGUAAUGCAUCAUCAUAAUGAGCUCAAUGUGACUAAGGAGUUAGCCACGGGAUCAUGCAUUACGGUACGAGUAAAGAGACUUGCCGGUAACGAGAUUGAACAAGGUAUUGGGAUACCGACGAUCGAAUCUCGGGCAAGUAACAUACCGAUUGACAAAGGGAAUUGUAUACGGGAUUGAUUGAAUCCUCGACAUCGUGGUUCAUCCGAUGAGAUCAUCGUGGAACAUCUGGGAGCCAACAUGGGUAUCCAGAUCCCGCUGUUGGUUAUUGACCGGAGAGUCGUCUCGGUCAUGUCUGCAUGUCUCCCGAACCCGUAGGGUCUACACACUUAAGGUUCGGUGACGCUAGGGUUGUAGAGAUAUUAGUAUGCGGAAACCCGAAAUUUGUUCGGAGUCCCGGAUGAGAUCCCGGACGUCACGAGGAGUUCCGGAAUGGUCCGGAGGUGAAGAAUUAUAUAUAGGAAGUCCAGUUUCGGCCACCGGGAAAGUUUCGGGGUUAUCGGUAUUGUACCGGGACCACCGGAAGGGUCCACCGGGUGGGGCCACCUGUCCCGGAGGGCCCCAUGGGCUGAAGUGGGGAGGGGAACCAGCCACUGGUGGGCUGGUGCGCCCCCCUUGGGCCUCCCCUGCGCCUAGGGUUGGAAACCCUGGGGGUGGGGGGGGCGCCCCACUUGGCUUGGGGGGGCAAGCCACCGCCUUGGCUGCCGCCCCCCCUCAGAUGGGAUCUCCAGGGGGCCGGCGCCCCCCAGGACCCCUAUAAAUAGUGGGGGGGGAGGGAGGGCAGCAGCACCACCGCCCCUGGCGCCUCCCUCUCCCUCCCGUGACACCUCUCCCUCCCGCUUGCGCUUGGCGAAGCCCUGCCGGGAUCCCCGCUACUUCCACCACCACGCCGUCGUGCUGCUGGAUCUCCAUCAACCUCUCCUUUCCCCUUGCUGGAUCAAGAAGGAGGAGACAUCGCUGCUCCGUACGUGUGUUGAACGCGGAGGUGCCGUCCGUUCGGCGCUCGGUCAUCGGUGAUUUGGAUCACGACGAGUACGACUUCGUCAACCCCGCUCACUUGAACGCUUCCGCUCGCGAUCUACAAGGGUAUGUAGAUGCACUCCUUCCUUCUCGUUGCUAGUAAACUCCAUAGAUGGAUCUUGGUGAUGCGUAGAAAAUUUUAAAAUUCUGCUACGAUCCCCAACAGUGGCAUCAUGAGCCAGGCCUAUGCGUAGUUACUAUGUACGAGUAGAACACAAGAUUGUUGUGGGCGUAGAUGUUGUCAAUUUUUCUUGCCACUACUAGUCUUAUCUUGUUUCGGCGGCAUCGUGGGAUGAAGCGGCCCGGACCAACCUUACACGUACGCUUACGUGAGACAGGUUCCACCAACUGACAUGCACUAGUUGCAUAAGGUGGCUAGAGGGUGUCUGUCUCUCCCACUUUAUUCGGAACGGAUUCGAUGAAAAGGGUCCUUAUGAAGGGUAAAUAGAAAUUGGCAUAUCACGUUGUGGUUUUACAUAGGUAAGAAACGUUCUUGCUAGAAACCUAUAGAAGCCACGUAAAAACUUGCAACAACAAUUAGAUGACGUCUAACUUGUUUUUGCAGCAUGGUGCCUUGUGAUGUGAUAUGGCCAAAAGGAUGUGAUGAAUGAGAUAUAUGUGAUGUAUGAGAUUGAUCAUGUUCUUGUAAUAGGAAUCACGAGUUGCAUGUAGAUGAGUAUGACAACCGGCAGGAGCCAUAGGAGUUGUCUUUAUUUUUUGUAUGACCUGCGUGUCAUUGAAUAACGCCAUGUAAAUUACUUUAGUUUAUUGCUAAACACGUUAGCCUUAGAAGUAGAAGUAAUCAUUGGCGUGACAACUUCAUGAAGACACGAUGAUGGAGAUCAUGGUGUCAUGCCGGUGACGAAGAUGAUCAUGGCGCCCCGAAGAUGGAGAUCAAAGGAGCAAAAUGAUAUUGGCCAUAUCAUGUCACUAUUUGAUUGCAUGUGAUGUUUAUCAUGUUUUACAUCUUAUUUGCUUAGAACGACGGUAGUAAGUAAGAUGAUCCCUUAUAAUAAUUUCAAGAAAGUGUUCCCCUAACUGUGCACCGUUGCGAAGGUUCGUUGUUUCGAAGCACCACGUGAUGAUCGGGUGUGAUAGAUUCUAACGUUCGCAUACAACGGGUGUUGACGAGCCUAGCAUGUACAGACAUGGCCCCGGAACACACGCAAUACACUUAGGUUGACUUGACGAGCCUAGCAUGUACAGACAUGGCCUCGGAACACGGAAGACCGAAAGGUCGAGCAUGAGUCGUAUAGAAGAUACGAUCAACAUGAAGAUGUUCACCGAUGUUGACUAGUCCGUCUCACGUGAUGAUCGGACACGGCCUAGUUAACUCGGAUCAUGUUUCACUUAGAUGACUAGAGGGAUGUCUAUCUGAGUGGGAGUUCAUUGAAUAAUUUGAUUAGAUGAACUUAAUUAUCAUGAACUUAGUCUAAUAUCUUUACAAUAUGUCUUGUAGAUCAAAUGGCCCACGUUGCCCUCAACUUCAACGCGUUCCUAGAGAAAACCAAGCUGAAAGAUGAUGGCAACAACUAUACGGACUGGGUCCGGAACCUGAGGAUCAUCCUCAUAGCUGCCAAGAAAGAUUAUGUCCUAGAAGCACCGCUAGGUGAAGCACCCAUCCCAGAGAACCAAGAUGUUAUGAACGCUUGGCAAUCACGUGCUGAUGAUUACUCCCUCGUUCAGUGCGGCAUGCUUUACAGCUUAGAACCGGGGCUCCAAAAGCGUUUUGAGAAACACAGAGCAUAUGAGAUGUUCGAAGAGCUGAAAAUGGUUUUCCAAGCUCAUGCCCGGGUCGAGAGAUAUGAAGUCUCCGACAAGUUCUUCAGUUGUAAAAUGGAGGAAAAUAGUUCUGUCAGUGAGCACAUACUCAAAAUGUCUGGGUUACACAACCGCUUGUCUCAGCUGGGAGUUAAUCUCCCGGAUGACGCGGUCAUUGACAGAAUCCUUCAGUCGCUUCCACCGAGCUACAAGAGCUUUGUGAUGAACUUCAAUAUGCAGGGGAUGGAAAAGACCAUUCCUGAGGUAUAUUCAAUGCUGAAAUCAGCGGAGGUGGAGAUCAAAAAGGAACAUCAAGUGUUGAUGGUGAAUAAAACCACUAAGUUCAAGAAAGGCAAGGGUAAGAAGAACUUCAAGAAAGAUGGCAAGUGAGUUGCCGCGCCCAGUAAGCCAGUUGCCGGGAAAAAGCCAAGGAAUGGACCCAAGCCUGAGACUGAGUGCUUUUAUUGCAAGGGAAGUGGUCACUGGAAGCGGAACUGCCCCAAAUACUUAGCGGACAAGAAGGCCGGCAACACCAAAGGUAUAUGUGAUAUACAUGUAAUUGAUGUGUACCUUACCAGUACUCGUAGUAGCUCCUGGGUAUUUGAUACCGGUGCGGUUGCUCAUAUUUGUAACUCAAAACAGGAGCUGCGGAAUAAACGGAGACUGGCGAAGGACGAGGUGACGAUGCGCGUCGGGAAUGGUUCCAAGGUCGAUGUGAUCGCCAUCGGCACGCUACCUCUACAUUUACCUACGGGAUUAGUUUUAAACCUCAAUAAUUGUUAUUUAGUGCCAGCUUUGAGCAUGAACAUUGUAUCAGGAUCUCGUUUAAUGCGAGAUGGCUACUCAUUUAAAUCCGAGAAUAAUGGUUGUUCUAUUUAUAUGAGAGAUAUGUUUUAUGGUCAUGCCCCGCUGGUCAAUGGUUUAUUCUUAAUGAAUCUCGAACGUGAUGUUACACAUAUUCAUAGUGUGAAUACCAAAAGAUGUAAAGUUGAUAACGAUAGUCCCACAUACUUGUGGCACUGCCGCCUUGGUCACAUUGGUGUCAAGCGCAUGAAGAAGCUCCAUGCUGAUGGACUUUUGGAGUCUCUUGAUUAUGAAUCAUUUGACACAUGCGAACCAUGCCUCAUGGGCAAAAUGACCAAGACUCCGUUCUCCGAAACAAUGGAGCGAGCAACCAACUUAUUAGAAAUCAUACAUACUGAUGUGUGCGGUCCAAUGAGUGUUGAGGCUCGCGGAGGCUAUCGUUAUGUUCUCACUCUCACUGAUGACUUGAGUAGUUAUGGGUAUGUCUACCUAAUGAAACACAAGUCUGAAACCUUUGAAAAGUUCAAGGAAUUUCAGAGUGAGGUUGAGAAUCAACGUGACAGGAAAAUAAAGUUCUUACGAUCAGAUCAGGGAGGAGAAUAUUUAAGUCACGAAUUUGGCACACACUUAAGGAAAUGUGGAAUAGUUUCACAACUCACGCCGCCUGGAACACCUCAGCGAAAUGGUGUGUCCGAACGUCGUAAUCGCACUCUAUUGGAUAUGUUGCGAUCUAUGAUGUCUCUUACUGAUCUACCGCUCUCAUUUUGGGGCUAUGAUUUAGAGACUGCCGUAUUCACUUUAAAUAGGGCUCCGUCGAAAUCCGUUGAGACGACACCGUAUGAAUUAUGGUUUGGGAAGAAACCUAAGCUGUCGUUUCUAAAAGUUUGGGGAUGCGAUGCUUAUGUCAAGAAACUUCAACCUGAAAAGCUCGAACCCAAAUCGGAAAAAUGCGUCUUCAUAGGAUACCCUAAGGAAACUAUUGGGUAUACCUUCUACCUCAGAUCCGAAGGCAAGAUCUUCGUUGCCAAGAACGGGUCCUUUCUGGAGAAAGAGUUUCUCUCGAAAGAAAUAAGUGGGAGGAAAGUGGAACUUGAUGAGGUGAUAGUCACCCCUUCCGAACCGGAAAGUAGCGCAGCGCGGGAAGAUGUUCAUGUGGUGCCUACACCGACUGGGGAGGAAGUUAAUGAUGAUGAUCAUGAAGCUUCGGAUCAAGUUGCUGCUGAACUUCGUAGGUCCACAAGGACAUGUUCCGCACCAGAGUGGUACGGCAACCCUGUCCUGGAAAUCAUGUUGUUAGACAACGGUGAACCUUCGAACUAUGAAGAAGCAAUGGCGGGCCCAGAUUCCGACAAAUGGCUAGAAGCCAUGAAAUCCGAGAUAGGAUCCAUGUAUGAAAACGAAGUAUGGACUUUGACUGACUUGCCCGAUGAUCGGCGAGCCAUAGAAAAUAAAUGGAUCUUUAAGAAGAAGACAGACGCGGAUGGUAAUGUGACCAUCUAUAAGGCUCGACUUGUCGCUAAGGGUUAUCGACAAGUUCAAGGGGUUGACUACGAUGAGACUUUCUCACCCGUAGCGAAGCUGAAGUCCGUCCGAAUCAUGUUAGCAAUUGCCGCAUUCUAUGAUUAUGAGAUAUGGCAAAUGGACGUCAAAACGGCAUUCCUUAACGGUUUCCUUAAGGAAGAAUUGUAUAUGAUGCAGCCGGAAGGUUUUGUCGAUCCUAAGAAUGCUAACAAAGUAUGCAAGCUCCAGCGCUCAAUCUAUGGGUUGGUGCAAGCAUCUCGGAGUUGGAACAUUCGCUUUGAUGAGAUGAUCAAAGCGUUUGGGUUUACACAGACUUAUGGAGAAGCCUGUGUUUACAGGAAAGUGAGUGGGAGCUCUGUAGCAUUUCUCAUAUUAUAUGUGGAUGACAUACUAUUGAUGGGAAAUGAUAUAGAAUUCUUGGAAAGUAUAAAGGCCUAUUUGAAUAAGUGUUUUUCAAUAAAGGACCUUGGAGAAGCUGCUUAUAUAUUAGGCAUCAAGAUCUAUAGAGAUAGAUCAAGACGCCUCAUUGGUCUUUCAUAGAGUACGUACCUUGACAAGAUAUUGAAGAAGUUCAAUAUGGAUCAGUCCAAGAAGGGGUUCUUGCCUGUAUUGCAAGGUGUGCAAUUGAGCACGGCUCAAUGCCCGACCACGGCAGAAGAUAGAGAAAAGAAGAGUGUCAUCCCCUAUGCCUCGGCCAUAGGGUCUAUUAUGUAUGCCAUGCUGUGUACCAGACCUGAUGUAAACCUUGCCGUAAGUUUGGUAGGAAGGUACCACAGUAAUCCCGGCAUGGAACAUUGGACAACGGUCAAGAAUAUCCUGAAGUACCUGAAAAGGACUAAGGAUAUGUUUCUCGUAUAUGGAGGUGACGAAGAGCUCGUCGCAAAGGGUUACGUCGACGCUAGCUUCGACACAGAUCUGGAUGACUCUAAGUCACAAACCGGAUACGUGUAUAUUUUGAAUGGAGGGGCAGUAAGCUGGUGCAGUUGCAAGCAAAGCGUCGUGGCGGGAUCUACAUGUGAAGCGGAGUACAUGGCGGCCUCAGAGGCAGCGCAAGAAGCAAUCUGGAUGAAGGAGUUCAUUACUGACCUAGGGGUGAUUCCCAAUGCGUCGGGCCCGAUGACUCUCUUCUGUGACAACACUGGAGCUAUUGCCCUUGCCAAGGAGCUCAGGUUUCACAGGAAGACCAGGCAUAUCAAGCGUCGCUUCAACUCCAUUCGUGAAAGUGUUCAAAAUGGAGACAUAUAUAUUUGUAAAGUACAUACGGACCUGAAUGUAGCAGAUCCGUUGACUAAACCUCUCCCUAGAGCAAAACAUGAUCAACACCAGAACUCUAUGGGUGUUCGAUUCAUCACAAUGUAACUUGAUUAUUGACUCUAGUGCAAGUGGGAGACUGUUGGAAAUAUGCCCUAGAGGCAAUAAUAAAAUGGUUAUUAUUAUAUUUCCUUGUUCAUGAUAAUUGUCUAUUGUUCAUGCUAUAAUUGUGUUAUCCGGAAAUCCUAAUACAUGUGUGAAUACAUAGACCACACCGUGUCCCUAGUAAGCCUCUAGUUGACUAGCUCGUUGAUCAACAGAUAGUCAUGGUUUCCUGACUAUGGACAUUGGAUGUCAUUGAUAACGGGAUCACAUCAUUAGGAGAAUGAUGUGAUGGACAAGACCCAAUCCUAAGCAUAGCGCAAAGAUCGUGUAGUUCGUUUGCUAGAGCUUUUUCCAAUGUCAAGUAUCUUUUCCUUAGACCAUGAGAUCGUGUAACUCCCGGAUGCCGUAGGAGUGCUUUGGGUGUACCAAACGUCACAACGUAACUGGGUGACUAUAAAGGUACACUACAGGUAUCUCUGAAAGUGUCUGUUGGGUUGACACGGAUCGAGACUGGGAUUUGUCACUCCGUGUGACGGAGAGGUAUCUCUGGGCCCACUCGGUAAUGCAUCAUCAUAAUGAGCUCAAUGUGACUAAGGAGUUAGCCACGGGAUCAUGCAUUACGGUACGAGUAAAGAGACUUGCCGGUAACGAGAUUGAACAAGGUAUUGGGAUACCGACGAUCGAAUCUCGGGCAAGUAACAUACCGAUUGACAAAGGGAAUUGUAUACGGGAUUGAUUGAAUCCUCGACAUCGUGGUUCAUCCGAUGAGAUCAUAGUGGAACAUGUGGGAGCCAACAUGGGUAUCCAGAUCCCGCUGUUUGUUAUUGACCGGAGAGUCGUCUCGGUCAUGUCUGCAUGUCUCCCGAACCCGUAGGGUCUACACACUUAAGGUUCGGUGACGCUAGGGUUGUAGAGAUAUUAGUAUGCGGAAACCCAAAAGUUGUUCGGAGUCCCGGAUGAGAUCCCGGACGUCACGAGGAGUUCCGGAAUGGUCCGGAGGUGAAGAAUUAUAUAUAGGAAGUCCAGUUUCGGCCACCGGGAAAGUUUCGGGGGUUAUCGGUAUUGUACCGGGACCACCAGAAGGGUUCCGGGGGUCCACCGGGUGGGGCCACCUGUCCCGGAGGGCCCCAUGGGCUGAAGUGGGGAGGGGAACCAGCCACUGGUGGGCUGGUGCGCCCCCCUUGGGCCUCCCCUGCGCCUAGGGUUGGAAACCCUGGGGGUGUGGGGGCGCCCCACUUGGCUUGGGGGCAAGCCACCCCCUUGGCCGCCGCCCCCCCCCUCAGAUGGGAUCUCCAGGGGGCCGGCGCCCCCCAGGACCCCUAUAAAUUGUGGGGGGGAGGGAGGGCAGCAGCACCACCGCCCCUGGCGCCUCCCUCUCCCUCCCGUGACACCUCUCCCUCCCGCUUGCGCUUGGCGAAGCCCUGCCGGGAUCCCCGCUACUUCCACCACCACGCCGUCGUGCUACUGGAUCUCCAUCAACCUCUCCUUCCCCCUUGCUGGAUCAAGAAGGAGGAGACGUCGCUGCUCCAUAUGUGUGUUGAACGCGGAGGUGCCGUCCGUUCGGCCCUCGGUCAUCGGUGAUUUGGAUCACGACGAGUACGACUCCAUCAACCCCGUUCACUUGAACGCUUCUGCUCGCGAUCUACAAGGGUAUGUAGAUGCACUCCUUCCUUCUCGUUGCUAGUAAACUCCAUAGAUGGAUCUUGGUGAUGCGUAGAAAAUUUUAAAAUUCUGCUACGAUCCCCAACACCUAGUUGGGACCUGAAACAUCUCUCGUGGACGUAUGUGAGGGGCCUCCAUAGUAACAGAGAGGGACCGUGGAUGAUCAUUGGAGACUUCAAUGAAAUUUUAAUUGCAAAUGAGAAGGAAGGUGGGAACACCAGGCCGCUACACUUCAUGCAAAAUUUCAGAGAUUGCAUCGAGGAUUGCGGAUUACAGGAAGUCACGUUUAUUUGAGAUCCCUUUACAUGGAGUAGGGGUAUGACUAGGGAGCGUCUUGACAGAGCUUUAUGCAACGACAAGUGGUCUGAAAAAUUCCCCUACGCGGCUGUUGUAUAUGAGUACCACAUCCAUUCAGAUCAUAGACCGCUUGUGCUGGAUACAUAUUACUUUGCAACGGUGUUAUCACCACAACCGAAAGGAGAGAGGAGUUUUGAAGCGCGUUGGUUGAAGGAGGAGACAAUGAAUGAGAUCGUCAACACGGCAUGGCAGCGAGCCCAUCUGGCGGGUGUCGGACCGUCCCUGGCUGAUCAUACGUGAGCAGUUAAGGCGGAUUUAUUUCAGUGGGAUCGUGACACACUACGAGGGCCAAAGAAAAGGAUACAUAAACUGCAGAAAGAGCUGAAAAAGCUAAGGCGAGGGCAGCUAACCACCGAAUCUAGACAGAAAAUAAAAGAAACACAAAUACUUAUUGAGAACCUACUAGUAGACCAGGAGGAAAUUGUUUGGCUACAGCGAGCGCGGGCAAACUGUUUACUCCACGGUGAGCGGAACACGUCUUUUUUUCAUAAAGCAGCAACAACACGUAAGAAGAGGAAUUGUAUUAAGAGGCUCCUAGAUGAUACAGGUGUGUGGAGAGAAGGUAUGGAUGAAAUCAACUCUAUCAUUACUGGAUAUUUCAGUAAUCUGUUUACCUCCCAAGUUAAUGUACCAAACAGGAACGUUUUGGACCAUGUGCAUACUAGGGUAACUACUGAUAUGAAUGAGAGACUGAUGGCUCCUUAUACAGCAGAAGAAGUGAAGAAGGCUUUAUUUUCCAUCGGUGAUCUCAAGGCCCUGGGGCCAGAUGGCUUACAUGCUAUUUUUUACAAGCGUUUUUGGCCCAUGCUUGGUGAUGAUCUGGUCGCAGAAGUACUGAGUGCAGUCAAUUCCCAGGUGAUGCCACAAGGUUGGAACGACACCACGAUUGUCAUGAUCCCAAAGGUACAAACACCAGAGAAAGUUUCGCAGUUUUGACCGAUCAGCCUUUGCGAUGUGGUCUAUAGGGUUAUCUAAAAAAUGAUCGCCACAAGAUUAAAAUUAUUUUUGUCUGAUAUAAUAAGUCCAACCCAGAGUGCCUUUGUCCCAGCGUUACAGAAAAUGUUCUUAUUGCAUAUGAAAGCUUACAUACAAUUAAGCAGAAGAAAACAAGCAAGGAAGGGUGGUGUGCGGUUAAUCUUGAUAUGCAUAAAGCCUAUGACCGAGUCGAGUGGGUGUUCCUGGAAGCUAUUCUCCUCAAGCUUGGUUUUCACGCAAACUGGGUGAAUAUGGUUAUGUUAUGUGUAUCUUCUGUUGAAUAUAGAGUCAGGUACAACUCGACAGAGACUGAAGCGUUCAAACCAUCGAGAGGGCUUCGUCAAGGGGAUCCUCUCUCGCCAUAUCUUUUUCUUCUCUGCACGGAGGGACUAACUGCCCUACUUUCCAGGGCUGAAAAUAACGGCGACCUCGUGGGGGUCAAAGUUUGUCGUGAUGCGCCAACAGUGUCAAAUCUUUUGUUUGCAGAUGACUCACUCAUCCCGAUGAAGGCCAAUGCUACUAAUGCUGCUUGUCUUAAAUCUAUCUUGGAUAUAUAUUGUUCGGCAUCCGGUCAAUUGGUCAGUGUGGAGAAAUCAAGUAUUUUUUCAGCCCAAGUACAGAUGUCAAUGUGAAGGCACAUGUAUGCUCAAUUUUAGAUAUCAUGACAGAGGCGUUGAAUGACAAAUAUUUGGGCCUCACAGCUACUUUGGGGAUUGAUAAAAGUGACAGCUUCCAAUAUCUGAUUGAUCGUCUGGUUCAGAAACUUAUGGGAUGGAAGGAGAGAUGCUUAUCUUCUGGGGGAAAGAAGUGCUCUUGAAAUCGGUAGCGCAAGCUAUACCAACUUAUGCGAUGUCCGUCUUCAAAAUUUCUAAAAAAAUAUGCAAAGGAAUCACAGAUGCGAUGUCUCGUUAUUGGUAGGGUGAUGACGCUACUAAUAAAAAGAUGCAUUGGUUUGCCUGGUGGAAGAUGUGCGUACCAAAGAAGAAAGGCGGUAUGGGCUUCAGGGACAUUCAUUGUUUUAAUCUUGCACUUUUGGCAAAACAAGCAUGGCGCCUCAUUGACAAUCCAGACUCACUAUGUGCAAUUAUUUUAAGAGCCAAGUACUUCCCUGAUGGAGAUCUUAUGAGUGCUACUUUGAAGAAAAAAUCUUCAUAUACUUGGCAGAGUAUAAUGGCUAGUGUGGACACACUGAGACGUGAGUAUAUUUGGAGAAUUGGAGAUGGUGAAAAGGUGAAUAUAUGGGAGGACUCAUGGAUUCCUUAGUCACCGACAAGAAAGAUACUAACUAUUCGAGGUAAUAAUUUAAUCACACGAGUCUGUGAUCUCAUCGACCCAGCAACUGGAGACUGGGACUCACAAUUGGUUAAUCAAACAUUCUGGGAAGUGGAUGUCCAGAGAAUACUUGCUAUACCCUUGCCCGUAUAUGAAAUGUCAGAUUUCAUUGCCUGGGAUCCCACCAAGAAUGGAAUCUUUUCGGUACGAUCCGCUUACCAAGUGGAAUGGAAUGCUCAAUUUCGUCACUUGCUGCAAACUAGAGCCGAAUCAUUGUAUCCUGACGAGAAGUGGAACUUGAUAUGGACCUUACAGUGCCCCGCAAAGAUCUGGAUUUUUAUUUGGAGAGUUCUCCAUAGUGCUAUUCCGUGUAGGGCGGUUCUGGCCUCGAAGCACAUGAAAGUGAAAACACAUUGUCCGUAAUGCAAUAUGGGACCGGAUAGCAUCAAGUACUUCCUUUUUGAGUGCCCAAGAUCAAAAGAGGUAUGGCGACAAUUGGGGCUGAUUGAUGUUGUCAAGAGGAGAUGUACACAAUUCAAAUCAGGUGAAGAAGUGGUGCAUGAACUAUUAAGCAUGGAGGAAACCGAGGUCUAGAUCCUAGGUCUUCCCAAACUGAAGGAGGUUGUGGCCACUGCGGCAUGGUAUCUAUGGUAUGAACACCAAAAAAGUACCAUGGAGAGGACACCCAAAAACCCUCACAAAUUGCUCUCGCUAUCCGAGGACUCUCAGCUAACUUUACUAUUGCUUGUUCCACUAAGGCAAAGCUACGUGUUGGUUCAUGGGAGAAGUUGAUACAGGGGUAUAUGAAAUUAAAUGUAGAUGUUGGCUUUGACCAUGAUCUUCUUGAGGGAUCGGUGGGGGAGUGAUCCGAGAUUACAACGGGAAAUUUAUUGCGGCAACUAAUGAACGAGUGGACAUAAGCUAUAAUUUGUUCACUUCAGAGGCAUUAGCAGUCAGAUUUGGUUUGAAUCUAGCCAGAACCAUUGGAUGCAGCAAGAUCGUGAUCAACUCGGAUAGCAUGGAGGUUGUGGAACCUUUGAGAGCAGGCAACUCCUCUUCGGUGGCAAGUGCAAUUAUUGAUGAUUGCUAUUUCAUAUGUUGUCAGAUUUUAAUCAUGUAAUUUAUGAUCAUUGUAAUAGAGAGAGUAAUAAAGUAGCUCCUGAACUUGCUAGGAUAGUUAAGUUUUCUCCUCCUUCUAUCUGGAUGGAUUCGGCACGGGAUGUACUGCUUCCAUUACUUGUAAACAAUGCCACUAUUUUGCUAAGUGAAUAAAGGAGGAUAAGUUCUGUAAAAAAACUGUUACGAGUAUAUAUGCACAAGUACUCCCUCUGUAU